RNAcentral lists this ribosomal RNA (712 nucleotides) under uncultured Enterococcus sp. RNAcentral's name for it is "bacterial SSU rRNA". It matches the Rfam family "Bacterial small subunit ribosomal RNA", at positions 28 to 711 of the family's 1533-position model. The record is from RNAcentral. Lineage: Bacteria; Bacillati; Bacillota; Bacilli; Lactobacillales; Enterococcaceae.
GACGAACGCUGGCGGCGUGCCUAAUACAUGCAAGUCGAACGCUUCUUUUCUACCGAGUGCUUGCACUCACUUGAAAAGAGGAGUGGCGGACGGGUGAGUAACACGUGGGUAACCUGCCCAUCAGAGGGGGAUAACACUUGGAAACAGGUGCUAAUACCGCAUAACAGUCGACACCGCAUGGUGUUGAUUUGAAAGACGCUUUCGGGUGUCACUGAUGGAUGGACCCGCGGUGCAUUAGCUAGUUGGUGGGGUAACGGCUCACCAAGGCCAUGAUGCAUAGCCGACCUGAGAGGGUGAUCGGCCACACUGGGACUGAGACACGGCCCAGACUCCUACGGGAGGCAGCAGUGGGGAAUCUUCGGCAAUGGACGAAAGUCUGACCGAGCAACGCCGCGUGAGUGAAGAAGGUUUUCGGAUCGUAAAACUCUGUUGUUAGAGAAGAACAAGUGGGAGAGUAACUGCUCCCGCCUUGACGGUAUCUAACCAGAAAGCCACGGCUAACUACGUGCCAGCAGCCGCGGUAAUACGUAGGUGGCAAGCGUUGUCCGGAUUUAUUGGGCGUAAAGCGAGCGCAGGCGGUUUCUUAAGUCUGAUGUGAAAGCCCCCGGCUCAACCGGGGAGGGUCAUUGGAAACUGGGAGACUUGAGUGCAGAAGAGGAGAGUGGAAUUCCAUGUGUAGCGGUGAAAUGCGUAGAUAUAUGGAGGAACACCA